GACGAACGCUGGCGGCGUGCUUAACACAUGCAAGUCGAACGGAAAGGCCCAGCUUGCUGGGUGCUCGAGUGGCGAACGGGUGAGUAACACGUGGGUGAUCUGCCUCUAACUUCGGGAUAAGCUUGGGAAACUGGGUCUAAUACCGGAUAGGACAAUCGUUUAGUGUCGGUUGUGGAAAGUUUUUUCGGUUAGGGAUGAGCCCGCGGCCUAUCAGCUUGUUGGUGGGGCAAUGGCCUACCAAGGCGUCGACGGGUAGCCGGCCUGAGAGGGUGGACGGCCACAUUGGGACUGAGAUACGGCCCAGACUCCUACGGGAGGCAGCAGUGGGGAAUAUUGCACAAUGGGCGCAAGCCUGAUGCAGCGACGCCGCGUGGGGGAUGACGGCCUUCGGGUUGUAAACCUCUUUCGACAGGGACGAAGCUUUGGUGACGGUACCUGUAUAAGAAGCACCGGCUAACUACGUG
Molecule: ribosomal RNA, 464 nt
Filed under: uncultured bacterium
Lineage: Bacteria
Description: partial 16S ribosomal RNA
Rfam family: Bacterial small subunit ribosomal RNA
Source: RNAcentral